GUAGACUCAUGCCCUGCCCACAGUGAGUACCGAUAUUAUUAUUAUUGUUAUUAUUAUGAUUCUUAGAGAAACAGAAAUACCCCUGGAUUUUGGGCCCAGCAGCGGGUUGGAAACCACAGCGAGGACAACAAUUAUAUUGUCAUUAUUGUUAUUAUUAGAGAAAAAAGAAUCCCUGGACUUUGAGCCCAGCAAAGGGGUAAAAACCACGCUCCAGAGCGACGCGCAUCUGUUCACUGAAGGUGACUCGGUGGAAAGUGCUUCCCGGGGCAAGACGGCUGGCAGCUCGUCAUCAGAGUAAUUAAAAAACAAAUUGAAAGGGGAUUCCCAAACGGUGUCACUGUGACAGCCGCACAUCUCCCCCGAGGAUGGUGCACUGUGAAAAAUGCUUUCCUUGUGAGAAUCAGACCUUGUUCGACAGUACAGGGCAGAUUUCCCAACUCUUCUAUGGCGUCCAGAUGAUCCAAAAUGGAACGCCGAGAGACAGCCCAACAAUCAGUCGAUCAAUCCCUCAGUGCUCAGCGGUAUGUACUGAGCAAUCGGGAGAGUACGACACGACAGAGUUAGACGUGUUCCCUGCCCAGAAUGAGCUUACCGUCUCCAAGUGGAGACGUACAAGCGUAACUAAAUACGUAUUCAUUUCGUAAAUACAUAUUCAUAAAUAUAAUGCUAAAUUUAUAUAUUUAGAAAUCAAUUUGUAGAUAAUAUGAUAAUAAAUCGAUUUAUUUCUAAAUAUAAACUCGACCAACGUUAGGUUGUCAGCAUUAUUAUUAUAGAUUAAUCAAUCAGUGGCAUUUAGUGAGCGCCUGCUAUGUGCGGAAAACCGUACCGAGUACUUGAGAGUGUGCAACACUACAGUUAGCGGACAGAUUCCCUGCCCACAGGAAGCCUGUAGAGACGGAUAGUAAUAGCAAUACGCUAAACUGAUCAAUCAGUGAAACAUAUUCAUCGAGCGCUUACUGCGCGCAGAGCACCGUACCGAGCGCCCGGGAGAGGACGAUAUAAGCGAGUUUGGCAGUCGAGCCUCCGCGGAGACGGUCGUCUCUCCGGGCCCACCGGCAGCGAGAGCCGCCCGUCUGGGGAAGAAGGAGCAGAUUUCGAUUCUGUACCAGCCUCGUCGGCAGAAAUGAUGCGCAGGGUUAAAGCCGCAAUUGGCAGCGGGGCCAGGAAGCGCAGUGGUGCCCGCCCGAGCCCGGCUGGAGUUUGCCGUGCCAAGACGCCGGAGGAUUCCCUGCGUGCUUCUCCACUGAGCAAACGCCCUCUGGACGGAGAUGAAGGCCAGCACACGGACAGCACCCGGUAAAGAUUCCAGCAGGGAUCCGGGAAGACCCCCACGAGGGGCUGAGAGGCAUCGUUCCGUAUGAUACAUCACCGUCUCCAGCCGCCAAGAUGCCAGAGCCAAAUGUUUUUUGAUUUUCUUCCUCUGACCUAAACAACGAGCAACAUUUUCAUUUCUCUUCAGCGCCGAGACUAGGCUAAUAUCUCUUGAAAGUCUUUUAAAUUGAUACCCGGUAGCUCUCGAAGGUCAUUUAAAUUCCUAAUGAAAAGUCACUGCAGGCCACGGGACCAAAUAAAUACAUUGUUAUUGAUCAUGCAAUAAGGUAUUAGGCUAAUUUAAUAAACCUCUCCCUGAGAUGUA
Long non-coding RNA from Ornithorhynchus anatinus (platypus), 1636 nucleotides. RefSeq lists it as uncharacterized. The transcript has 2 exons. NCBI's taxonomy places the organism in Eukaryota, Metazoa, Chordata, Mammalia, Monotremata, Ornithorhynchidae. The record is from RefSeq and is a predicted model, not a curated record.